GAAAUUUUGUUGUUGUCAGUCCUAUCAUGACUUUCGCAUAAACGACACGCAUAAAAUCGGUAAAAAGACGCCGCGUGUGUUUCUUGCAAAAGGCAAAGGAAAAAUUAAUACAUACACACACAUGUAUUGCAAAAGCAACUUCGCUGCUGCCUAUCAAACUUCGGGUAGUGUAAUAACAAGAUAAUGCAAUAAAAAUUGUGCCCCAACAAACGUGACAAAUGCACAAGUAAAAAAAUUCAGAAAAAAUAAUUCAAUUGAUUGCCGUCGGUCUCGCUGUCGCUCUUCUGUACGUCUGUGUCUAAGUGAAUGUGUGUGUGCGUUAAUAAAUCACAAAUAACAACAAUUUCGUGAGACUUGCUGCAUUUUAGCCGCUGUUGCAGUCGCAGUAAACGUUGCCGUCGCAGUUCGCGUCGUGUUUUAGUUAGCAUCGAAUUUUCAUUUGUAAAUUUCAACUCGUCUGUCUCUUACGCCGCCGCGGCCGCCGCCACCGACGCUGCACACACACGCACGCAACACACUCAUACAUACAAAUGCGGAAGAGUCGCCGCACUCAUCGAAAUCAGCUCCCCACCGUUGCCACCAACAAAAAUUCGCUGCCGCCGUCGCAGCUGCUGCCGCCACUCAAUAAUUGUGCAUUUUUUUAAGUCGCCAGCAACAACAACAAUAGCCGGAAAAAUAAGUAAAAAAUGUGCAAAAAUUUAAACGAAAUUCUUUAAAUUCAUUUCUAAUGUGUUAAAUAAAAAAAAAAAUACAACAAAUUUGUGUGCACAACAACACGAGCAACAAAAUUACAAACACCAAAUGGGCAACUAUUGAAUGGCGGCCAUCAGUGGCCCCAAGCGGCAUCCAUUGAGCAAUCAACACCAUUUCUCCCAUCCAACCACCAAAACCGCCACCACCACCAACAACAACAAUAACAGCAACAGCACAACUAACAGCAGCAAGCAGAGGCUUUAUAGCUAUCAAACGCCAGCUAAUCCUCAGCACACAGCACCCAGCUACUCCAGCACGAACACCACCAACAACAGCAGGCGGAGCAGCAUCGACAGCUGCCCAAAUCCUUUAGCUGCUGCGCCGCGUAGCUCAAUGAGCGUUUCGAUGUCACUGGUACAGGGUGGUGCUGCCGGUGGUGCGCCACAGGGCGCCAGCGCAAUAUUAGCCGCAGCGGCUCCAUAUUAUCAGCCGCCAGCGGUGCCACAGGAUGUACAGCCGGAUCGUCCAAUUGGCUACGGUGCAUUCGGCGUUGUCUGGGCCGUCACAGAUCCGCGCGAUGGACGCCGCGUCGCACUGAAAAAGCUGCCAAAUGUGUUUCAAUCUUUGGUCUCAUCUAAGCGCGUUUUUCGUGAACUGAAAAUGCUAUGCUUUUUCAAGCAUGAGAACGUGCUGUCAGCUUUGGACAUUUUACAGCCACCACAUUUGGACUUCUUUCAGGAAAUCUAUGUGAUAACUGAGCUGCUGCAAUCGGAUCUGCACAAGAUCAUAGUGUCGCCACAGCAUCUGUCUGCCGAUCACAUCAAGGUGUUUCUCUAUCAGAUAUUGCGCGGCCUGAAGUAUUUGCACUCGGCACGGAUACUCCAUCGCGAUAUCAAGCCGGGCAAUUUGCUGGUCAACUCGAAUUGUGUGCUCAAGAUAUGCGAUUUUGGGCUGGCACGCGUCGAGGAGCCGGACCAGGCCAAGCACAUGACCCAGGAGGUGGUCACACAAUACUAUCGGGCGCCGGAGAUACUCAUGGGUGCACGCCACUAUUCGUCGGCGGUGGAUGUGUGGUCGGUGGGCUGCAUUUUUGGCGAGCUGCUUGGCCGGCGUAUACUGUUCCAGGCGCAGAAUCCUGUGCAGCAGCUGGAGCUAAUCACCGAGCUGCUGGGCACACCCACCAUGGAGGAUAUGCGUCAUGCCUGCGAGGGUGCACGCACCCACAUGCUGAGGCGUGCCCCAAAGCCGCCAUCCUUCUCGGUCCUCUAUACGCUCAGCUCACAUGCCACGCACGAGGCGGUGCAUUUGCUAUGCCAGAUGCUUGUCUUUGAUCCGGACAAGCGCAUUUCAGUGACAGAUGCCCUGGCGCAUCCGUAUCUGGAUGAGGGUCGUCUGCGCUAUCAUUCGUGCAUGUGCAAAUGCUGUUUCACUACCUCAGCUGGUAUGCGUCAGUAUACGGCGGACUUUGAGCCAUCCGCCGGGCAGCCCUUUGAUGAUUUAUGGGAGCGCAAGCUCACCUCCGUGCAGCAGGUGAAGGAGGAAAUGCAUAAAUUCAUUGCCGAGCAGCUGCAAACGGGCCGUGUACCGCUUUGCAUUAAUCCGCAGAGUGCGGCCUUUAAGAGCUUUGCCAGCCAAUGAGAAUGAGAAUAUCUACUACUACUACCACUACUACCACAACUUGCACUGCUGCUCCUCCUGUCGCUGCUGCUGCUGCCGCUGCUACGCCGCGACGCCGCUGCCGCCGCCGCUGCCGCUGCGCAGGCCAAGGCCAAGUACAAGUACUAGGCGCGUACCGAUAAACCGAUUAACCGAUUAACCGAUAAAUAUAUAUAUAAACCAAUAAAGUCAAGUCAACACAGAAAACAGAACGAAUCAAGAAUCAAGCCAGAAGUCACAAAAAUAAAACUAGAAACAAAACUGCCGCCAGAAAGAAAGAAAGAAAGCAAGAAAGAAAGGCAAGCGAGCAAAGAAAGCAAGAAAGAUACCAAGCAAUCGAAUCGAAUCGAAUCGAUAUAUAUCGAUACACACUGCAGUUGUGUGGGGCCUCGGCAGCAGCAACUCCCAUGUGCGCGCGAUCUUGAAUCUUUAGCUCAACUGUGGCGCAUCCCUCGGAGCUGCCGCCUUCGCCGCAUCAAUGGGAAUGACGGCAAAAUGAGGCGAUUGCUGCCUAAAAUAUCAAAAGCAACACUCAAACAACAACAACAACAACAACAAACACUUGAGCAACACACAACACACACACAAAUACACCAACAAUGGCUGGCAUAUAAUAUAUAUAAGCCACGGACAAGGGGCUUUGGCGCAGCGCCCCGCUGUAAACAACAACCCCCUCCACACCCCCCCCCCCCCUCGUCAACAGCAAAUGAAUGAAUGAAACAAGGUUUAAAUUGAAGGCGCCAAACACUUUUAAGCGCUGUUUGUUUAAAAGUUAAAGCAUUCCACCACCGAAAUCAACUAAGAGAAAAUUAAAACAACAAAAAGAAAAACUCUAAAAAUAGGCUUAAAUGAAAGCAAGCUAAAAGUUAAAACACAUACAAAAAUGUAACGUAACUCAACUGAAACUAGUCUAAAAAACGAAAAGAAAAGAAAGUUAAGAAAACAACAAUAAGCGAAAUUGUUGUUAAGGCAGCGGCACAAAAAACACAAAAGCAAAAACAAGCGAAUUCGAAGAAAAUUAUUGUUAACAAAAACAACAACAAAAAUUACGCAAACAAAUUAAUAGCGUAGACAACACAAAUUUGAGCAACAAAAAUAAUUUGUUGUGCUUGACAAAAUUGGUAGAAAAACAAAACAAAACAAAACAAAAAACAAACAAAUUUUUGGUCUUAAAAGCAAGUUAAAAAAUGUUUUUAUUUUAAGCGCUUUGAAAAUCUAUGUAAAUUAAUUAGCAAUUAGUCUAAAACAAAACUACACACAUACACACAUAGACGUCGUAAUAAACAAAAAGUUAUAUAAAUAAUAUUAUAUUUAAACACACACACAGACAGACAACAACAAAUUUGUUUGCCAAAUUUACCUCACAAUCAGACACAUUGAAUUAAUUCGUUUUUUAUCUGUGUAUAGCUAAAACUAUAGAACUCUUAUGUGUAGCACUUAAAAACAACAACAAAAACAUACAACAAAAAAAAGAAAAGAGAAAAGAAAACUAAACUAAACUAUAAAUAAUUACAAUUUUCUAAACUAACAAAAACAAAAAACACAACAAUUUAUUUCAUAUAUUUGCGCUUCAAUUUUGAAACUGGUUUCUAACUAUAUGUAGAAUGGCUCUAUAAAUGCCGCACACAGUUCUAUACCCACAUAUAUAUAUAUAUAUAUAUUUAUAUAUAUAACCAUAAUAUAUAUAUGUAUGUAUUUAUAAAUUAAAUGUGUGUUUGUUUAUGUACAUCUGUGUGUCUGUAUGUCAUAUAGGAAAAAUACAAAAAUGAAAAAACAAAAACAAAAGCACGCAAAACUUUCGAAAUUAGUUGAGAAAAACAUUAAUAAUAUAUAUUUUAACCGUGGACUGAUUUAAUUGUUUAACUUUAACAAUUAUGCAAUUAAACAAUUUAAUUUUUUGUAAUAAUUCUAAUACUAAUUCUUAGUUAAACACAAUUUACAUUAUGCGCCUAUGAUUAUUUUUAAGUUAAUGCUAAUUAUUAAUACGUUUUGCUGCAGCAGGCAAAUGUUUAGUUUGUAGCGCACGCAUUUCAACUAUGUAUGUAUAUAUAUGUAUGUAUGUAUAUAUGUGUAUGUAUAUAUAUAUGUAUAUACUAUAUAAGUUGCAAAUGUUAGUUAAAAGCAAAACCAACAAGUGGACGACACACUGCCCCCCAGUGAAUGUGCACAGGCGCUCAAAAGUUGCAGCAACAACAACACAAACACAGCACAUGCCACAGUACGACAGGCAGCACUCGAUAAGGCGAACUAGCCAGACUCUCACUCUCUCUCUCUCUCUCUGUGUGUGUGUGUGUGCGUGUGUGUGUGUGCGUUUGGCUGUCUAGCAACGGGAUUUGAACGUCUGGCUAAUUCAAGAUAGUUUAUAUUCUUAAUUAGUUUAACUGUAAUAUAGUUUAAUUUCCUUCUUUAAGCCCACAACUACCCACCCCCCCCCCGCUCCCCUCCCCCUUCUUCCCCUCUCAAAAACCCAGCCAAUUUUCGUAUUCUUUUUAAGUAGCAACAAAUGCUCAUGCCAACUAAAUGCUAUAGCUAAAGGAACGCCAGUUCUGCAUAGAUCUGUUAGUAUCUCUAGACCCCAUAUAUAUAUAUAUAUAUAUAUUUAAAUGUAUGUAUGUUUAAGACUGAGUUCUCUCAUUUCCUUACAAAAGAGAUGGUUGACAAGCGCGCCUAUAUGCAAUAUAUAUAAAUGUCAGAAAUGUUGUUGGAUAACACGCGGAAUGUAGAAAGCCAAAUGUUUGAAGAAUUGCAAAUUUUGAAUGCUUGAAUUAUGUAUUCAAAAUGUAGCCAACUAUAUAUAAAUAAUAUUUAUAUAUAUAUAUACCUACGUACAUAUACAUAUAUAUCCAUUACAUAUGUGUAGUUGUGUAUUCGUAAUUUUUAAAGUCUUUUGGAUAAAAAGUUAAAAUUCUCGAAAUUGUAGGCGCUGUGCUGUGCAUACAAAAUACGCUCAAUUUCUAAACCCAAUUUCUUCGACUCUUAACUGUGCUGCUUUCUUAUGUAUGUAGUUUUUAAUCACACACAUAUAUAUAUAUAUACAUAUAUAUAUAUAUAUUUAUAUAUUUAUAUAUACACACACAUAUAUAGUACACUUAUAUAUGCAUUAAUUUAGCGUACGCUUAAAGACGACAUUAAAGAAUUGAUGGAAAACAAAUAUGAAUUCAAACUUUCACGGAGAUCUCAAAACGAAAAAAAAAACAUGAUGAAAAGCGAAAAGGAAAUCGUGGGUGAAAACUACAAAUGUAA
Drosophila montana is the source of this 5592-nucleotide RNA transcript. It is a transcript of the gene named nemo, with no coding region annotated. The transcript has 9 exons. Lineage: Eukaryota; Metazoa; Arthropoda; Insecta; Diptera; Drosophilidae. The record is from RefSeq and is a predicted model, not a curated record.